Molecule: ribosomal RNA, 468 nt
Filed under: uncultured bacterium
Lineage: Bacteria
Description: partial 16S ribosomal RNA
Rfam family: Bacterial small subunit ribosomal RNA
Source: RNAcentral
GACGAACGCUGGCGGCGUGCUUAACACAUGCAAGUCGAACGGAAAGGCCCUGCUUUUGUGGGGUGCUCGAGUGGCGAACGGGUGAGUAACACGUGAGUAACCUGCCCUUGACUUUGGGAUAACUUCAGGAAACUGGGGCUAAUACCGGAUAGGAGCUCCUGCUGCAUGGUGGGGGUUGGAAAGUUUCGGCGGUUGGGGAUGGACUCGCGGCUUAUCAGCUUGUUGGUGGGGUAGUGGCUUACCAAGGCUUUGACGGGUAGCCGGCCUGAGUGGGUGACCGGCCACAUUGGGACUGAGAUACGGCCCAGACUCCUACGGGAGGCAGCAGUGGGGAAUAUUGCACAAUGGGCGGAAGCCUGAUGCAGCAGCGCCGCGUGCGGGAUGACGGCCUUCGGGUUGUAAACCGCUUUCGCCUGUGACGAAGCGUGAGUGACGGUAAUGGGUAAAGAAGCACCGGCUAACUACGUG